RNAcentral lists this ribosomal RNA (242 nucleotides) under uncultured bacterium. RNAcentral's name for it is "partial 16S ribosomal RNA". It matches the Rfam family "Bacterial small subunit ribosomal RNA", at positions 535 to 776 of the family's 1533-position model. The record is from RNAcentral.
CAAGCGUUGUUCGGAAUUAUUGGGCGUAAAGGGCGCGUAGGCGGUUUGACAAGUCUGAUGUGAAAUCUAUGGGCUCAACCCAUAGCCUGCAUUAGAAACUGUCGGGCUUGAGUAUGGGAGAGGUGAGUGGAAUUUCCGGUGUAGCGGUGAAAUGCGUAGAUAUCGGAAGGAACACCAGUGGCGAAGGCGACCACCUGGACUGAUACUGACACUGAGGUGCGAAAGCGUGGGGAGCAAACAGG